RNA transcript from Bufo bufo (common toad), 1957 nucleotides. It is a transcript of the gene named serine and arginine rich splicing factor 2, with no coding region annotated. Lineage: Eukaryota; Metazoa; Chordata; Amphibia; Anura; Bufonidae. The transcript has 3 exons. The record is from RefSeq and is a predicted model, not a curated record.
AGGCUGGUUAGCGGGCCGCGCUGCGCUCUGUCUUGCAGCUCGCCUGAGGUGGAGAGUUCGCAGAGGCCAGCAGCAGCAGUGCUCGGCACGCUAUCUACAAAGCGCACUACCAACAACCGCUACCAUGGCAGACAUGAGCUACGGGCGCCCUCCGCCUGACGUGGAGGGCAUGACUUCCCUCAAAGUGGACAACCUGACGUACCGCACGUCCCCGGAGACCCUGCGCCGCGUCUUUGAGAAGUACGGCCGGGUGGGCGACGUGUACAUCCCGCGGGACCGCUACACCAAGGAAAGCCGCGGCUUCGCCUUCGUCCGCUUCCACGACAAGCGCGACGCCGAGGACGCGAUGGACGCCAUGGACGGAGCCGUGCUGGACGGCCGGGAGCUGCGGGUGCAGAUGGCGCGCUACGGCCGCCCGCCCGAUUCCCACCACAGCCGCCGAGGCCCACCACCCCGGAGGUACGGAGACUACGGCGGCCGCCGCAGCAGCAGGAGCCCAAGGCGAAGAAGACGCAGUCGGUCCAGAAGCAAGAGCCGAUCGAGGUCACGUAGCCGAUCACGUUACAGUCGCUCCAAGUCCCGGUCCCGCACCAGAUCCCGUUCCAGUUCCAAGUCUCGCUCUGCCCGGAGAUCAAAGUCCAAGUCUUCCACUGUGUCCAGAUCCCGCUCUCGCUCCCGGUCUCGCUCUAGAUCUAAGACGACGCCUCCGCCAAAGAACUCCUCCAAAUCAAGAUCAAGAUCACCGACUCCGCCCCCUAAAACUCCAGAGGAAGAGCCAUCUACUUAGACUGGAGGUAAUGUGUGCCUGGAGCAUGUGCUGUCUGGGGUCCGGGGGGGUUUGUCGUGCGGUCUAGUUAGCUAUACUGCAGCCGCUGCUAUCCGGACAAGGUUUGUAUGUUUACCAGGUCUUGCUGUAGGUUGCUGGGGAUGUCUGGGUUUUAUACUGUAUCCAUCUGAUUGUUUAAACCAAUAUCUGCAUUUUCCUCUCAAAGCUGCGGGCUCCAGUUGCUUAAGGAGUAGUGAGCUGUAUUGCAGAUAUUAAGUGGUUUUUCCUGAUCCUCCAGAGAGCAGUUUCUGUGGGCGUGUAAUGGAGCAGAGUCGUCUUAAAGGCACCCGCCCCGCUGGACCUGUCUGGGAUGAUAACUGUACAGUAAAUGUACAGCCCUUGGAAUUGUACAUGGAGCAAGCAAACAGCCUUCCGAAAAGGUGGUUAUCUGUAUGAUUUGUUUUUCUAUACUUUUACCAGUUUAAUUUGCGCCUGAUGUGGCAGACUCUUAUUUUAUGUGCCAUUUUUGUUGCUAUUCCAAUUUCUUGUAAUUUAGUGAACGACAACAGAUUUCAUUGUUCUCUUGGAUGCUCGAGGUAAAACGUUGCUGUUUAAUACAUUGUCUUUCGGCCGCAGGCUGUCAGUCAAUGCCUCCGCUUUGGAUACAAAAGCUUCAUUUAAUAAAUGUCAGACAUUUUCAUGUAUGUAACUGCAUUUUAAUGGGAGGUACUGAAAUGCAAAUGUAUUUAGUAUGAGAUGCUGUUGUAAGGGCGUGUUUUUAUUUGACCACAUCUCUAAUCUUUUCUCUUGUGUAUUUUUGUGCACUAGGCGCAGUUGUGUAGCAGUUGAGUAUUGCUGGUUAGCUGUUAAGGUGGCGUGUUGCAGUGCAGAGUGCUUGGCUGUUUCCCGUUUUCUCCUGAUUGCUCCUGUGUAACGCAGAAACACAAAUGGCUGUCCAGUUUGUUAGCUUUCCUGACAACUGCACGUCCAGUCGCCCGGGCCUUGCAUAAAAUAACGGAGCAUACAGUGAGCACCUCUAACUGAUGAUAAACACCUUCUUUUACAGAACCUUGUAAAUCCGAUGUCAUGCAGGUGUCAUUCCUUUUGUAUGUACUGAUAUCUGGCUCUGUAACAUUCUGUACUAUAACCACUCUUUAUGUAGUUAAUAAAAAGUUCUUUAUAAAACUCUUG